This 372-nucleotide long non-coding RNA is filed under the name Ricinus communis (castor bean). RNAcentral's name for it is "long non-coding RNA (RCOM_LNC001650)". The record is from RNAcentral. Lineage: Eukaryota; Viridiplantae; Streptophyta; Magnoliopsida; Malpighiales; Euphorbiaceae.
AUAUAUUAAAAAACCUAGUUCACUUUGAAAAAAUCUAUUUCUAACUAAAACAUCCUUUUAAUUUUAUAAUAUAAAAAGAAUUAUGUUAGCAUCACAAGAUUCAUCUUUUUCACAAUCAAAAAGAAGAUUGAUCCAUAUGGCAGGUUUUCUAACUGCAACUGUAGUGUGUACACACCUGUUCGGAUGGCACAAACUCCUAAAAAAAGGGAAGAAAAUUUCGAGGGUAUGCACUAUUUGAUAAUCUACAAGUGAGACAUGUGAAUUUCUUAGGUGGAUUGAUAGAAGUUCUUGCUAGAGGUGCUACUAGUUUAUACCUUGAUUGCAACAACAAUAAACAAAUGUGAGGACAAGAUUACUGUGUGUAAAGCGGAG